RNAcentral lists this long non-coding RNA (1029 nucleotides) under Fragaria vesca (wild strawberry). RNAcentral describes it as "long non-coding RNA (FVES_LNC000212)". The record is from RNAcentral. Lineage: Eukaryota; Viridiplantae; Streptophyta; Magnoliopsida; Rosales; Rosaceae.
AGAAGAGAAAGAAGAAGAUGCUAUGGCUGGAGAGUAUCAGGGUUAUAAAUUAAUCGAAUCGAUGAUUUACCAGAUUGUUCCAGUGGUAUAUUGACUGAAAACAUAGUCUCUAGUAUGUUGACUGAAAACUAUUGAUGUAUUUCUCAGGUCUGCUGAUAGAUUUGACCAAGAGAGCAUAGUUGGACCCCAAGUUCACUGGUUGGGAUUGAAACUCUGAAUGAAAAUGCAAGUCCAUUUCUUGGAUUCGUUUCAAGCUUCGUUAAUCUGUUAACUAUUUCUUUCUUUUUCCUCGUAUAUAUAUAUCUACUUUUUUGUGUUGCAGCUGGUGAAUUUGGGGUCACUAGCUCAAGCUUGGGAGGGAAUCGAAGGGGGCUGCAGGCAGCAGAUGAAUCUAUAGGGUGGGGAAACUUCGGUGAAAUAAUAGAGAAUACAGGACCUGGAUUCGGAGACACUCCAGACUGUUGAGAAGAUGAUGUUUGGCCAGAGACAGUUGCAGAUGGGGCAUCCUAGUUGCAAUGGACUUUCUUUUUCCUGCAUAUUUUUUUUUAACUGAUGCUAAAGUUGUCUUUAUGUCUAUACUGAAUGGUUCAAAUAUUUGAAGGCAGUCAAAUUGUAACGAAUCUUAGCUAGGACCAACUUGUACAGAUACUAGUAAAUUGAAAUGAUACAAUAUUUUACACAGAUAUGCGGUUCUCCUACAUAAUCUUAUGCGCUUGGAAGAUAGCUGUUGAUUGCAGAACUGAACAAGUGCUUCAUGGAUACCAGAAUCCAGUAUUUCUUCAUAAUUUGCUUGCUUUAUUCCCACUUUGUAAUAUCCAAAGGGCUCCCAAGUCCCACGUCGCAUUUGCACAUAUAUAGUUUUGAGGUUCUCAAGAUACUUUCGAGUUUGGAAUGAUGUUUGAACUCUUGGAAUGAUGUUUUGCACAGUGUAAACAAAUCAACCAAUGAUGAAGAUACUAAUGCAUAACAAAGUCCUAUACUUGAAGUUUUUUUUGAAGAGGAAAUGUAGUGUACGUGAACAAAUCUCAC